This 30-nucleotide non-coding RNA is filed under the name Aedes albopictus (Asian tiger mosquito). Lineage: Eukaryota; Metazoa; Arthropoda; Insecta; Diptera; Culicidae. The record is from RNAcentral.
UCUUAUCGGUCUCCUCACACAAACGGCAAU